RNAcentral lists this ribosomal RNA (253 nucleotides) under uncultured bacterium. Its description in RNAcentral is "partial 16S ribosomal RNA". It matches the Rfam family "Bacterial small subunit ribosomal RNA", at positions 524 to 776 of the family's 1533-position model. The record is from RNAcentral.
GACGUAGGAGGCGAGCGUUGUCCGGAUUCAUUGGGCGUAAAGAGCACGCAGGCGGUUUGGCAAGUCGGAUGUGAAAUCCCGAAGCUCAACUUCGGGCGUGUAUCCGAAACUGCCCGACUAGAGGUAGGUAGGGGAGAUCGGAAUUCCUGGUGUAGCGGUGAAAUGCGCAGGUAUCAGGAGGAACACCGGUGGCGAAGGCGGAUCUCUGGGCCUUACCUGACGCUCAGGUGCGAAAGCUAGGGGAGCGAACAGG